ACCGCUGACGACCGGCGAACGGGUGCGUAACGCGUAUAGAAUCUGCCUUGUACAGGAGGAUAGCCUUUAGAAAUGAAGAUUAAUACUCCAUAAUACUGAGAUGUGGCAUCACAAUUUAGUUAAAGAUUUAUCGGUACAAGAUGACUAUGCGUCCUAUUAGCUAGAUGGUAAGGUAACGGCUUACCAUGGCAACGAUAGGUAGGGGGUCUGAGAGGAUUAUCCCCCACACUGGUACUGAGACACGGACCAGACUCCUACGGGAGGCAGCAGUGAGGAAUAUUGGUCAAUGGAGGCAACUCUGAACCAGCCAUGCCGCGUGCAGGAAGACUGCCCUAUGGGUUGUAAACUGCUUUUAUACAGGAAGAAACAGUCGUACGAGUACGACCUUGACGGUACUGUAAGAAUAAGCACCGGCUAACUCCGUGCCAGCAGCCGCGGUAAUACGGAGGGUGCAAGCGUUAUCCGGAAUCAUUGGGUUUAAAGGGUCCGCAGGCGGUCAAUUAAGUCAGAGGUGAAAUCCCAUAGCUUAACUAUGGAACUGCCUUUGAUACUGGUUGACUUGAGUUAUACGGAAGUAGAUAGAAUAAGUAGUGUAGCGGUGAAAUGCAUAGAUAUUACUUAGAAUACCGAU
RNAcentral lists this ribosomal RNA (631 nucleotides) under Tenacibaculum sp. M68. Its description in RNAcentral is "bacterial SSU rRNA". It matches the Rfam family "Bacterial small subunit ribosomal RNA", at positions 84 to 713 of the family's 1533-position model. The record is from RNAcentral. Lineage: Bacteria; Pseudomonadati; Bacteroidota; Flavobacteriia; Flavobacteriales; Flavobacteriaceae.